This 253-nucleotide ribosomal RNA is filed under the name uncultured bacterium. RNAcentral describes it as "partial 16S ribosomal RNA". It matches the Rfam family "Bacterial small subunit ribosomal RNA", at positions 524 to 776 of the family's 1533-position model. The record is from RNAcentral.
UACGUAGGGUCCGAGCGUUGUCCGGAAUUACUGGGCGUAAAGAGCUCGUAGGUGGUUUGUCGCGUUGUUCGUGAAAACUCACAGCUUAACUGUGGGCGUGCGGGCGAUACGGGCAGACUGGAGUACUGCAGGGGAGACUGGAAUUCCUGGUGUAGCGGUGGAAUGCGCAGAUAUCGGGAGGAACACCCGUGGCGAAGGCGGCUCUCUGGCCUGUAACUGACGCUGAGGCGCGAAAGCGUGGGGAGCAAACAGG